Non-coding RNA from Pelobates cultripes (western spadefoot toad), 419 nucleotides. The record is from the annotation of a GenBank genome assembly. Lineage: Eukaryota; Metazoa; Chordata; Amphibia; Anura; Pelobatidae.
GGCCUGUGUGGAGGUAAUACCUCCGACUGAACCUUGUUAAAUACUUCUUUUAAGUCCAAAUACUGCGGUGGGAUUUCUGUGGUUAAGGGAGGUGCUAUAGGUACAUUGAUGGUACCGAUUCGUUUAGGCACCUGUUUUAAGCAAUAACCUCUGCAACUCUUUCCCCAACUCACAAUCUCUCCUUCAACCCAAUCUAGACAUGGAUUGUGUUUCUGGAGCCAAGGAAAACCGAGUAUUAUUGGACAUGUAGCUGAAGAUAUAAUUUGAAAAACCUACUGAGACAGUGAUUGGUAUAGUUUCGUGUGUGAUGAGAGGUUGAGUAAGAGGUCUCCCAUCGAUAGCCUCUACUGCUAUGGGUCUGUCUUUCUGCCUUAAAGGCAGAAGAUGUUUGGCAGAAAAUUCCUUAUCAAGGAAAUUCU